AACCUUCAGAUUCCUUACCUUCAGAUCUAAAUAUUGUCUGAGAGGCUAAAAAAGGAGGAAAAGUAAAACAGAAGAGGACGUGGAGCCUUUAGUGACAUACGAGUUUAUGUCGAACAUAU
RNAcentral lists this small nucleolar RNA (119 nucleotides) under Echinops telfairi (small Madagascar hedgehog). Its description in RNAcentral is "Small nucleolar RNA SNORA61 (ENSETEG00000026348.1)". Lineage: Eukaryota; Metazoa; Chordata; Mammalia; Afrosoricida; Tenrecidae. The record is from RNAcentral.